Molecule: small nuclear RNA, 104 nt
Organism: Nycticebus coucang (slow loris)
Lineage: Eukaryota; Metazoa; Chordata; Mammalia; Primates; Lorisidae
Source: RefSeq, a predicted model, not a curated record
GUGCUCGCUUCCAUAGCACAUACAAUAAAAUUAGAACAAUACAGAGGUUAGCAUGGCCCCUGCACAGGAUGACAACACAAAUUAGUGACGCUUCCAUAUUUUCA